AACGCUGGCGGGGGCUUAACACAUGCAAGUCCAACGCCCUUCUGGGAGGUGGGGAACCCGGGUGAACACGUGUGAGAAUCUGCCCUUUUAUAGGGUAUCACGCUUGACCACUUGUGCUACCCCCUGUGCCCUAUUUUGGGGCAUUUUUAUGAAUUGUGGAUGACCCCGCUUUAGAUUUGCUAUUUGGUGGUAAAAUGGCUCCCCGAGGAUUUUCUCUUUUUGAGGCCAGUUGAUCCGCUGGCUCCCCCUGAGACUGUCCCGUUCCCCACUUUUAUACGAGGCUCAUUGGGGAAUAAUGCUCCCUGUGCACGGCCUGACGAUCCUUUGUGCCGCGUGUGUGAUGAGCUUCUUGGGGUUGUUCUCUCUUUCACCGGAAGGUAUAGUGAGUGCCUCAAACAGAGAAGCUCUCUAACUUUUCUUGCGACCACCCCUUUAUAAUACAGAGGGAUAUAGCUUUGCUCGGAAAUUGUGGUCGUAAAGCACCCGUUUGCAGAUUUCCAUCAAAGGGAAAACAUACCAUGGAUCACCCCCGGACCUGCCUGUAAUUGUGAAUCUCUAGUCCUCUAGAGAGGUGAGUGAAAUUCCGAGUGUAGGUCGUGAAAUUCUUUCAUAUGCAAAAGAACACUGUCGAGGUGGCGUCUCUGACUACAUAUGGACACGGAGAGGUGAAAGCGCGUGAAGCGAACACGGUAUGAUACCCCGGUCUUGCUCGCCCCAUUCUAUCAGAGCUAUCGAUCUUUCAGCGUGCGACUCUGUGGCGCAGAGAACACACAGAGAUCUCUCCGCGGGGAGAGCGCUGUCGAGAGUAUAAAUCAACAGAAUAUGAGCGGGGGCCCGCACGCGGUGGGGCGCAUGGUUUAAUUUUAAGUAACACGCAGAGCCCCCCCACCCCUCGACAUACGGCUGGCGGAUAUCAGGGGUCGGAUCUUUUAGUUUAGGUGGACCGCUCACAGGUGCUGCAUGGCUGUCGUCAGCUCGUGUCGUGAGAUGUUGGGUUAAGUCCCGCAACGAGCGCAACCCUCGCCUUUAGUUGCCAUCAUUUAGUUGGGCACUCUAAAGGGACUGCCGGUGAUAAGCCGGAGGAAGGUGGGGAUGACGUCAAGUCCUCAUGGCCCUUACGGGCUGGGCUACACACGUGCUACAAUGGUGGUGACAGUGGGCAGCGAGACCGCGAGGUCGAGCUAAUCUCCAAAAGCCAUCUCAGUUCGGAUUGCACUCUGCAACUCGAGUGCAUGAAGUUGGAAUCGCUAGUAAUCGCGGAUCAGCAUGCCGCGGUGAAUACGACCCGGGCCUUGCACUCACCGCCCUCAAG
This 1312-nucleotide ribosomal RNA is filed under the name uncultured bacterium. RNAcentral's name for it is "partial 16S ribosomal RNA". It matches the Rfam family "Bacterial small subunit ribosomal RNA", at positions 32 to 1401 of the family's 1533-position model. The record is from RNAcentral.